Molecule: unclassified non-coding RNA, 204 nt
Filed under: plant metagenome
Description: partial contains small subunit ribosomal RNA, internal transcribed spacer 1, and 5.8S ribosomal RNA
Source: RNAcentral
UUUCCGUAGGUGAACCUGCGGAAGGAUCAUUACCUAGAGUUUGUGGACUUCGGUCUGCUACCUCUUACCCAUGUCUUUUGAAUACCUUCGUUUCCUCGGCGGGUCCGCCCGCCGAUGGGACAACAUUCAAACCCUAUGCAGUUGCAAUCAGCUUCUGAAAAACCAUCAUAUUUACUACUUUCAACAACGGAUCUCUUGGUUCUG